RNAcentral lists this ribosomal RNA (99 nucleotides) under Bacillus sp. ZZV12-4809. Lineage: Bacteria; Bacillati; Bacillota; Bacilli; Caryophanales; Bacillaceae. The record is from RNAcentral.
GUCACACCCGUUCCCAUACCGAACACGGAAGUUAAGCUUCUCAGCGCCGAUGGUAGUUGGGGGCUGUCCCCCUGUGAGAGUAGGACGCUGCCGGGCGAA